GUGAAUCAUCGAAUCUUUGAACGCACCUUGCGCCGCUCGGUUUUCCGAGGGGCACGUCUGUUUGAGUGUCACGUCAAACUCUCACUUCCCUUCGGGUGAAGUGGAAUUGGACCGUGCUGUCGACCCCUCGGGGUCGUACGGCUCGUCCCGAAAUGCAUGGUUUGCCUGCAGAGUCUUGCGCGAGCGGGACCGACGAAACGGUGUGAUAUUUACUAUCUGCGCUGUAAGUAGUCGGACUCCAGCCUGCUGCACCAGGAGCGCUCUGGGCUUACAAUGGCGAGGGUGAGGGAAUUCACGUUC
RNAcentral lists this unclassified non-coding RNA (300 nucleotides) under uncultured Myxarium. Its description in RNAcentral is "sequence contains 5.8S rRNA gene, ITS2". The stretch from base 1 to 71 matches the Rfam family "5.8S ribosomal RNA", at positions 84 to 154 of the family's 154-position model. The record is from RNAcentral. Lineage: Eukaryota; Fungi; Basidiomycota; Agaricomycetes; Auriculariales; Hyaloriaceae.